UACCCGCUGANCUUAAGCAUAUCAAUAAGCGGAGGAAAAGAAACCAACAGGGAUUGCCUCAGUAACGGCGAGUGAAGCGGCAAAAGCUCAUCUUUAAAAGCUUCGGCAUUGUAACGGUGGCGGAAGGGGCAUUCAAAAGUCCAUUGGAACAUGGCGCCAUCGAGGGUGACAGCCCCGUAAGAUACGCCCCACGCCUCCACCAAAUGAGUCGAGUUGUUUGGGAAUGCAACUCUAAGAGGUGGUAAACUCCAUCUAAGGCUAAAUAUCGACGAGAGACCGAUAGCGAACAAGUACAGUGAUGAAAGAUGAAAAGCACUAAANG
This 322-nucleotide ribosomal RNA is filed under the name Metschnikowia bicuspidata. RNAcentral describes it as "partial large subunit ribosomal RNA". It matches the Rfam family "Eukaryotic large subunit ribosomal RNA", at positions 22 to 380 of the family's 3401-position model. The record is from RNAcentral. Lineage: Eukaryota; Fungi; Ascomycota; Pichiomycetes; Serinales; Metschnikowiaceae.